AAAAGCGUGUCCUUCCUGUCUGGCUGCAGCAGGUCUGGGCUCAGUGAGAGGUUUUGGGGCUAAGAGGGGUAUAAAGGCAGUACCUUGGACAGACCCGGUCCUCGGAGACAGGAAAGACUCAAGGUCGCACGGGAUAAAUUGCGAACCGAUUGCAGGCUCCUUGCGUCAGUUGCGUGAGGGGAGGGGCCUGUUGCGCCCGCGCAGUUGUCCUCUCUUUCAAGCGCCUGGAGCGCAUGUGCGCAGGGUGUGGCGAAAACGGGGCUGGAGUCUAACUACAGUACUCAUUGGAUGCCCCGACUCACCCUCAAGGCAGAAGGCUGUGGAGGCCUGGAGCCAGGAGCAGCCUUGGAGGGCACCUGGUGCUCUUCCACCCAGAGGAAGGGACAUGCAAGGCCAUGUGGACAGCGUAAGUGAGCCGUCACGAGGAAACAAGCCUUCCGGUCUAUGUCUGAGUCAACAAGAUGGCACCAAAGAG
Long non-coding RNA from Manis pentadactyla (Chinese pangolin), 475 nucleotides. RefSeq lists it as uncharacterized. NCBI's taxonomy places the organism in Eukaryota, Metazoa, Chordata, Mammalia, Pholidota, Manidae. The record is from RefSeq and is a predicted model, not a curated record. The transcript has 3 exons.